RNAcentral lists this ribosomal RNA (253 nucleotides) under uncultured bacterium. RNAcentral describes it as "partial 16S ribosomal RNA". It matches the Rfam family "Bacterial small subunit ribosomal RNA", at positions 524 to 776 of the family's 1533-position model. The record is from RNAcentral.
UACGAAGGGGGCUAGCGUUGCUCGGAUUUACUGGGCGUAAAGGGCGCGUAGGCGGACAGUUUAGUCAGAGGUGAAAGCCCGGGGCUCAACCUCGGAAUUGCCUUUGAUACUGGCUGUCUUGAGUACGGGAGAGGUGUGUGGAACUGCGAGUGUAGAGGUGAAAUUCGUAGAUAUUCGCAAGAACACCAGUGGCGAAGGCGGCUCACUGGCCCGAUACUGACGCUGAGGCACGAAAGCGUGGGGAGCAAACAGG